This 111-nucleotide non-coding RNA is filed under the name pig gut metagenome. RNAcentral's name for it is "THF riboswitch". It matches the Rfam family "THF (Tetrahydrofolate) riboswitch aptamer". Rfam says of the family: THF riboswitch presents a pseudoknot that joins P1-P2 and the loop of P3 and two THF binding. The record is from RNAcentral.
CAGAGUAGGGAACCGCGCGUUAAGUGCCGCUCGGACGGAGAGUUGCCGAGAGGACGAAAAGCGAGAUCAGCGAAGAUCAGUCGCUUGCGGUGCGUUUCCCGCAUCUCGCUG